GUAUAAAUACAGAUCCAACACUUCCUUCCAUACAUAAGAGGAUUACAACUUUGGAUUAUAGUUAAUAUCUUGUUAAUUUAUAAAUUAGUUCAAAGAUAAUACAAUGAUGAGAGGAUUAGAAUCGAAAACUGCAUCCACUAUUCUCUUUUCUGUGCUGAUUUUCCUUAUUUUCAUCAAUGGCGAAGCUCGAAGUGACAAAGAAUUCUGUUCUUCUGCUCCUUCCUGUGGGGAAAUCCGAAACAUCAGCUACCCUUUUCGCCUAAAGGAAGAUCCGUCAGGCUGCGGCGACCACGAUUACGAACUCUCUUGUGUCAACAACAAAACAAUCUUGGAAAUUUCUCCAGAAAAUUCUAUGUGACAAGCAUUUCGUACGACGAUCAAACACUCCGUCUGGUUGAUGCCAACUUCGCCGAUGCCAAUGACAGCUGCAGCCUUCCGUCUGGUUCUGUAUUAACAACGGAUGGAUUUCUCAAAGAUAUACGAUUUAGACGUGUCUCAGACCCUGAUAGCCGUUUCAGAUUCCUACACUGCUCAAGAAACAUCAGCAGCGUGCCGGAAGCUGCUAAUCACACAGCAAUUCCUUGCUUGACAAGAAACGGGACUUAUGUCUACACUGUUUAUGAUGGCGAAUACUCGUAUUAUUCUCCUCAACCGUCAUGCUCUGUCAUUUCGUUGGUGUCGGUCUUCGUAAAGGUGUUACGAAGUUCAAUUCUUAUGAGGACGUCAUGGAACUAUUGAAAGCUGGCUUUGAAGUUGGAUGGUCGCUUCAGUGCAGGGAUUGCGCUCUGAAAGGUAAACCCUGCGUAGUAACCUCGAGGGUUAACCCGAUCACCUACAGGUGUGAAAGAGGUCUAAUUGCUCUGGGGGUUGCCAUUGCUAUAUUGGUAUUCGUUAUCCGAAGAUGUCAGAGAAGACGAAAUGCAGCUGAUAACACCGCGAAGAGUCUGCCGAAUUAAGUAUUAAUCCUUGACGCCAACAAUCAGCCAGUCUUGAACCACAUCACGAACCCUUACCCUAUUCACCCUUUAUGUGUGUGAUUAAAAAGUUUGAUUCAAUUUUUUUCUUCGUUCUAUUUUCGUGUACAAGGAGAUUGUAAUGUUCUGUAUUCAACUUGUAUGUGGAAUCCAAAACUAUUUCGUAAUGUUCUAAUCCAUGAAGUCGAAAAAGAGUGUGACCGUAACCUUGAAGAUUA
Molecule: long non-coding RNA, 1192 nt
Organism: Pyrus x bretschneideri (Chinese white pear)
Lineage: Eukaryota; Viridiplantae; Streptophyta; Magnoliopsida; Rosales; Rosaceae
Exons: 2
Source: RefSeq, a predicted model, not a curated record